RNAcentral lists this ribosomal RNA (599 nucleotides) under Legionella pneumophila subsp. pneumophila. RNAcentral's name for it is "partial 23S ribosomal RNA". It matches the Rfam family "Bacterial large subunit ribosomal RNA", at positions 367 to 965 of the family's 2925-position model. The record is from RNAcentral. Lineage: Bacteria; Pseudomonadati; Pseudomonadota; Gammaproteobacteria; Legionellales; Legionellaceae.
AAAGCCCCGUAUACGAAGGUUUGAUGAGGAACUAGGCACGCGAACAAGUAGGCCGGGACACGUGAAAUCCUGGUUGAAGAUGGGUGGACCAUCAUCCAAGGCUAAAUACUACUUACUGACCGAUAGUGAACCAGUACCGUGAGGGAAAGGUGAAAAGAACCCCGGAGAGGGGAGUGAAAUAGAAUCUGAAACCGUUUGCGUACAAGCAGUGGGAGCAUAGUUUAGGCUGUGUGACUGCGUACCUUUUGUAUAAUGGGUCAGCGAGUUACUUUCAGUGGCGAGGUUAACUGAAUAAGGGAGCCGUAGAGAAAUCGAGUCUGAAUAGGGCGAUAGUCGCUGGGAGUAGACCCGAAACCGGGCGAUCUAGCCAUGUGCAGGAUGAAGGUUGGGUAACACCAACUGGAGGUCCGAACCGGGUAAUGUUGAAAAAUUAUCGGAUGACGUGUGGCUAGGAGUGAAAGGCUAAUCAAGCCCGGAGAUAGCUGGUUCUCCCCGAAAGCUAUUUAGGUAGCGCCUCGUGAAUGAUUACUGGGGGUAGAGCACUGUUUCGGCUAGGGGGCUGUCAUGGCUUACCAAACCGAUGCAAACUCCGAAUACCG